AAUAUCUAACCUGUACCUACCACAACUUCCCAUGGCAACGGACGUUGGUAGUAACUCAUAGUAACCAGGCUCUCAACCAGCUCUUCGAGAAGGUGGCAGAACUCGAUGUUGAUGAGAGACAUUUACUGCGUCACGGUGAAGAGGAAUUGCAGACGGAUAAAUAUUUCUCAAGCUAUCCGCCCUCUACGAGCUUCGGCUUGGGGUAACGGGCCGUGGGGACACGACGGAAGCGGGUCGCAAUUUGCAAACGGUAUUGCAGUCCCAACAAGAUAAGCUAAGAGUUACUGGAGCAGGAGAAUUGUGUAGCGGCGAAGACAAAGAGAAGUAGGACGAGGGGCAAGUGGAAUGCAGCGUAAAAAUAAUGGAACACCACUCACCUAAAGUCCUCCGUCUCUUCACCUGUCUUCGUGAAAGAAGACCACAAAUAAAACUAUAUGCACAAAAGAAGAAGCGUAAGCGCAAGCGAAAGCAAACACGUGACCUCGCGGCGGCGGGUGAAUCUUCUCUGCGGCGCGGGAGCAUGUAGAUUGUAGAAUGCGGUCCCCUCCUUCUACACUUUAAUACCGCAAAAGAGAAAGAGUGGUGUUUAGGAAAUGGGUGCGGUAAGGAUAGAGAAUGUGAUCAGAGAGGACUAAAGAGCUGCGAUGGAGGCUCCAUGUGUUUGGAGCUGGCGCUGGAAGGCGAAAGACUUUGCAAGGCGGGAGAUUGCCGCGCAGGUGUUGCCUUUUUCCAAGCAGCCAUACAGGCAGGCACUGAUGACCUGCGAACUUUGAGUGCUAUAUACAGCCAGCUUGGCAAUGCUUACUUCUACAUACAACAUGAUCUCACAUUAGCUAGGACCAUGGAAGACAAGUUAGGCGAAGCAAAGGCUUCUGGUAAAUUAGGAAACACAUUAAAAGUGAUGGGCAAGUGGACACUUGGAGAUAUCAAGAACAUUGGGAGAUAAGUUAAGCGAAGGGCGAGCUUUAUACAACCUUGGCAAUGUUUACCACGCCCAGGGCAAGCAUUUAGGACGCGCGGGACAAAGAGAUCCGGGACACUUUCCGCAAGAAGUACGUGACUGCCUCCUGCAAGCUGUCACUUACUAUGAAGAGAACUUGGAGUUGAUGCGCAGCGUAGGCGAUAGGCAAGCAGCGGGUCGGGCGUGUGGCAACCUCGGCAACACUUGCUACCUUUUGGGAGAUUUUGCGAAGGCGAUCCGGUACUAUAAAGAGAGGCUUCGGAUUGCCCAAGAAGUGUAAUUAAGUUUUGUGUAAUGUAUUGAAAUUUGUAAACAAUCCGCCAUUUUCUACUUUUCU
Long non-coding RNA from Pieris napi, 1298 nucleotides. RefSeq lists it as uncharacterized. The transcript is spliced from 6 exons. Lineage: Eukaryota; Metazoa; Arthropoda; Insecta; Lepidoptera; Pieridae. The record is from RefSeq and is a predicted model, not a curated record.